This 460-nucleotide ribosomal RNA is filed under the name uncultured bacterium. RNAcentral describes it as "partial 16S ribosomal RNA". It matches the Rfam family "Bacterial small subunit ribosomal RNA", at positions 338 to 795 of the family's 1533-position model. The record is from RNAcentral.
CCUACGGGAGGCAGCAGUGAGGAAUAUUGGUCAAUGGGCGUAAGCCUGAACCAGCCAAGUCGCGUAAGGGAUGAAGGUUCUAUGGAUCGUAAACUUCUUUUAUAAGGGAAUAAAGUUCGGGACGUGUCCCGUUUUGUAUGUACCUUAUGAAUAAGCAUCGGCUAACUCCGUGCCAGCAGCCGCGGUAAUACGGAGGAUCCGAGCGUUAUCCGGAUUUAUUGGGUUUAAAGGGUGCGUAGGCGGCCUUUUAAGUCAGCGGUGAAAGUCUGUGGCUCAACCAUAGAAUUGCCGUUGAAACUGGGAGGCUUGAGUAUGGUUGAGGCAGGCGGAAUGCGUGGUGUAGCGGUGAAAUGCUUAGAUAUCACGCAGAACCCCGAUUGCGAAGGCAGCCUGCUAAGCCAUGACUGACGCUGAUGCACGAAAGCGUGGGGAUCAAACAGGAUUAGAUACCCGAGUAGUC